RNAcentral lists this ribosomal RNA (433 nucleotides) under uncultured bacterium. RNAcentral describes it as "partial 16S ribosomal RNA". It matches the Rfam family "Bacterial small subunit ribosomal RNA", at positions 29 to 507 of the family's 1533-position model. The record is from RNAcentral.
AACGAGCGCUGGCGGCAUGCCUAACACAUGCAAGUCGAACGAGACCUUCGGGUCUAGUGGCGCACGGGUGCGUAACGCGUGGGAACCUGCCCUUAGGUUCGGAAUAACUCCCCGAAAGGGGUGCUAAUACCGGAUAAUGUCUUCGGACCAAAGAUUUAUCGCCUUUGGAUGGGCCCGCGUUGGAUUAGCUAGUUGGUAGGGUAAAAGCCUACCAAGGCGACGAUCCAUAGCUGGUCUGAGAGGAUGAUCAGCCACACUGGGACUGAGACACGGCCCAGACUCCUACGGGAGGCAGCAGUGGGGAAUAUUGGACAAUGGGCGCAAGCCUGAUCCAGCAAUGCCGCGUGAGUGAUGAAGGCCUUAGGGUUGUAAAGCUCUUUUACCCGGGAUGAUAAUGACAGUACCGGGAGAAUAAGCUCCGGCUAACUCCGUG